RNAcentral lists this long non-coding RNA (455 nucleotides) under Rattus norvegicus (Norway rat). RNAcentral's name for it is "long non-coding RNA NONRATT002188". The record is from RNAcentral. Lineage: Eukaryota; Metazoa; Chordata; Mammalia; Rodentia; Muridae.
GAUAGGGCAUAGAGUAAUCCACACAUCAUGGGAUUCAACGGGGCGUUUUAUGAAAGAGCUAUUUCCCAGGAGCACACCUGUGUGUCAAGGCCUCCCUUCCAGCUAGGCCUUUGGAAUCUCCAGUGCUAAACACUGUCUCUUCCUUUGCAGAAGUGAAACAUAAUAAAAAUUCACACUUCACAGUACAGUGAAUAGCAGUAAUCGCGAAACGUGUAAAUAGAACCGAUGUGUACCAGAGUAUGUGGAUUGAUGUUAUAUGAAAUGUGUUUGGGUGCCGUGCAGUAUCCUCUUCCAUGUUCCUACAUACUGAGCAACGACCCUGUACAAUUUCUCUCUAGACAGAACCAUCUGGAAUUCACUCACUGAGGGACUUAUGCCCUGGAGUGGCAGCUACAGGUAGGACUUGUGCAACCAUGUCACGAAGCGAAGAGACAGAGAUGCAUGGAUUAAAUGGA